UGAACCUGGCCGAGGACGAAAAAAUCGCCGAUUGCCGUGCCGUCCGCGACUUCGACAAGCCCGACCAUUACCUCAUGAUGGCCACUCGCAAAGGCCUCGUGAAAAAGACCGAGCUGAAAGCUUACAGCCGACCGCUCAAAAGCGGCAUCAUCGCCAUCAAGCUCAAAGAAGAUGACGAGCUCGUCGACGUCGCCAUUACCAAGCAGGGUGACGAAAUCGUGCUCGCCACCACCAAGGGCAUGGCCAUCCGCUUCAACGAAGCCGACGCUCGCCCCAUGGGCCGCAACACCAGCGGCGUCAAAGGCAUCUCGCUCUCCAAAGACGAUCACCUCGUCGGCAUGGUCGUCGCCGACCCCGACGCCACACUAUUAACCGCCUGCGAACACGGCUACGGCAAACGCACCCCCUUCGGACCCAACGCCCCCUACUCCCCUCCCCUCGAUGAUACUUCUUCCGAAUCCCCUCCCCUCGAUGGGGAGGGCGAGGGAGGGGUGGACGAAUCUGACAACGUUCACGACGGCGAGGUCGCUUCAGCGACCACGCAACCCGACGACGAUGCCGAAGGCGAGUCCUCCUCCAGCUUCCGCUACCGAACCCAACGCCGCGGCGGCAAGGGCCUCCGCGACAUCAAAACCACCGACCGCAACGGCCCGGUAAUCGGCAUCGUCCGCGUUCGCGAUGAUGAUGAGCUCAUGAUGAUGACCGCCCGCGGCAAAAUCCAACGCGUCAAAGUCAGCGACUUCAACCCCAUCGGCCGCAACACGCAAGGCGUCCGCAUCAUGUCCCUCGAAGAAGGCGACACGCUGGCCGCAAUCGUCUGCGUCCCCGCCGAAGAACGCGAAGCCGACGAGCCAGAGAGCACCGAAGCCGUUCCCGAAUCAUAGCGCCUCGUUCCUACGCUCUGCGUAGGAACGCACGACUCCCGACGCUCUGCGUCGCCCCGCAAACAUGGA
RNAcentral lists this unclassified non-coding RNA (953 nucleotides) under uncultured fungus. Its description in RNAcentral is "sequence contains 18S rRNA gene, ITS1, 5.8S rRNA gene, ITS2, 28S rRNA gene". Lineage: Eukaryota; Fungi. The record is from RNAcentral.